This 408-nucleotide ribosomal RNA is filed under the name uncultured bacterium. RNAcentral describes it as "partial 16S ribosomal RNA". It matches the Rfam family "Bacterial small subunit ribosomal RNA", at positions 28 to 526 of the family's 1533-position model. The record is from RNAcentral.
GACGAACGCUGGCGGCGUGCUUAACACAUGCAAGUCGAACGGAGUGGCGAACGGGUGAGUAACACGUGGGUGACCUGCCCUGCACUUCGGGAUAAGCCUGGGAAACUGGGUCUAAUACCGGAUAGUGUGGGAUGGGACCGCGGCUAAUCAGCUUGUUGGGGGGGUAAUGGCGUACCAAGGCGGCGAAGGGUAGCCGGCCUGAGUGGGUGGACGGCCAGAUUGGGACUGAGACACGGACCAGACUACUUCGGGAGGCAGGAGGGGGGAAUAUUGCACACUGGGCGGAAGCCUGAUGUAGUGACGCCGCGUGGGUGAUGACGGACUUCGGGUUGUAAACUCCUUUCACCAUCGACGCGGUAGAUGGAGAAGAAGCACCGGCUAACUACGUGCCAGCCGCCGCGGUAAUUC